GGAGGAAAAGAAACCAACAGGGAUUGCCCCAGUAACGGCGAGUGAAGCGGCAACAGCUCAAAUUUGAAAUCUGGCCCCCUUGCGGGGCCCGAGUUGUAAUUUGAAGAGGAUGCUUCUGGCAAGGUGCCGUCCGAGUUCCCUGGAACGGGACGCCGCAGAGGGUGAGAGCCCCGUACGGUCGGACGCCGAGCCUCUGUGAAGCUCCUUCGACGAGUCGAGUAGUUUGGGAAUGCUGCUCAAAAUGGGAGGUAAACCCCUUCUAAAGCUAAAUACCGGCCAGAGACCGAUAGCGCACAAGUAGAGUGAUCGAAAGAUGAAAAGCACUUUGAAAAGAGAGUUAAAAAGCACGUGAAAUUGUUGAAAGGGAAGCGCUUGCGACCAGACUCGCGCCCGUCGGAUCAGCCGUCGCUUGUCGGCGGCGCACUCCGGCGGGCUCGGGCCAGCAUCAGUUUGCCCGGGGGGAGAAAGGCGGCGGGAAUGUGGCUCUUCGGAGUGUUAUAGCCCGCCGCGUAAUGCCCCAGGGCGGACUGAGGACCGCGCGUAUGCAAGGAUGCUGGCGUAAUGGUCGUCAGCGACCCGUCUUGAAACACGGACCAAGGAGUCGUCCUAAUAUGCGAGUGUACGGGUGUCAAACCCCUGCGCGUAAUGAAAGUGAACGGAGGUGAGAGCUUCGGCGCAUCAUCGACCGAUCCUGAUGUUCUCGGAUGGAUUUGAGUAAGAGCAUAUUGGGCCGGACCCGAAAGAAGGUGAACUAUGCCUGUGUAGGGUAAAGCCAGAGGAAACUCUGGUGGAGGCUCGCAGCGGUUCUGACGUGCAAAUCGAUCGUCAAACAUGGGCAUGGGGGCGAAAGACUAAUCGAACCUUC
This 865-nucleotide ribosomal RNA is filed under the name Microascus globulosus. RNAcentral describes it as "eukaryotic LSU rRNA". It matches the Rfam family "Eukaryotic large subunit ribosomal RNA", at positions 52 to 944 of the family's 3401-position model. Lineage: Eukaryota; Fungi; Ascomycota; Sordariomycetes; Microascales; Microascaceae. The record is from RNAcentral.